Molecule: transfer RNA, 67 nt
Filed under: Janus sp. 1 GYN-2022d
Lineage: Eukaryota; Metazoa; Arthropoda; Insecta; Hymenoptera; Cephidae
Description: tRNA-His
Source: RNAcentral
AUUUAGGUAGUUUUAAAAAAAAUUUUGAUUUGUGGUAUCAAAGAUACAAGUUUUAUUGUCUUAAAUC